UACGUAGGUGGCAAGCGUUGUCCGGAUUUAUUGGGCGUAAAGCGAGCGCAGGCGGUUUCUUAAGUCUGAUGUGAAAGCCCCCGGCUCAACCGGGGAGGGUCAUUGGAAACUGGGAGACUUGAGUGCAGAAGAGGAGAGUGGAAUUCCAUGUGUAGCGGUGAAAUGCGUAGAUAUAUGGAGGAACACCAGUGGCGAAGGCGGCUCUCUGGUCUGUAACUGACGCUGAGGCUCGAAAGCGUGGGGAGCGAACAGGAUUAGAAACCCUGUAGUCC
Molecule: ribosomal RNA, 272 nt
Filed under: uncultured Enterococcus sp.
Lineage: Bacteria; Bacillati; Bacillota; Bacilli; Lactobacillales; Enterococcaceae
Description: partial 16S ribosomal RNA
Rfam family: Bacterial small subunit ribosomal RNA
Source: RNAcentral